GGUGGUGGCAUGAUGAAUUACGGUUACGGUGCUGGUAUGGUUAAUGAAGAAGAGAUGGCGAGGAGGAUGGUGCCAUGGAGGCCGCUAUACAUUGCCGAGCAACCGCCGCCGCCACCACCACCGACGCAGAUGUUCAGUGAUGAGAACCCUAAUGCCUGCAGCAUCUCAUAGCGGACUACUACAGUCAGUAUUUAUGUAUCUAUCUGCGGAAUAGAUCUGUAUGUAAUAAGGUUUGAG
This 237-nucleotide unclassified non-coding RNA is filed under the name Hevea brasiliensis (rubber tree). Lineage: Eukaryota; Viridiplantae; Streptophyta; Magnoliopsida; Malpighiales; Euphorbiaceae. The record is from RNAcentral.